RNAcentral lists this ribosomal RNA (434 nucleotides) under uncultured bacterium. RNAcentral describes it as "partial 16S ribosomal RNA". It matches the Rfam family "Bacterial small subunit ribosomal RNA", at positions 29 to 507 of the family's 1533-position model. The record is from RNAcentral.
GCGAACGCUGGCGGCAGGCUUAACACAUGCAAGUCGAGCGGGCAUAGCAAUAUGUCAGCGGCAGACGGGUGAGUAACGCGUGGGAACGUACCUUUUGGUUCGGAACAACACAGGGAAACUUGUGCUAAUACCGGAUAAGCCCUUACGGGGAAAGAUUUAUCGCCGAAAGAUCGGCCCGCGUCUGAUUAGCUAGUUGGUGAGGUAAUGGCUCACCAAGGCGACGAUCAGUAGCUGGUCUGAGAGGAUGAUCAGCCACAUUGGGACUGAGACACGGCCCAAACUCCUACGGGAGGCAGCAGUGGGGAAUAUUGGACAAUGGGCGCAAGCCUGAUCCAGCCAUGCCGCGUGAGUGAUGAAGGCCCUAGGGUUGUAAAGCUCUUUUGUGCGGGAAGAUAAUGACGGCACCGCAAGAAUAAGCCCCGGCUAACUUCGUG